RNAcentral lists this ribosomal RNA (253 nucleotides) under uncultured microorganism. Its description in RNAcentral is "partial 16S ribosomal RNA". It matches the Rfam family "Bacterial small subunit ribosomal RNA", at positions 524 to 776 of the family's 1533-position model. The record is from RNAcentral.
UACGUAGGGUGCGAGCGUUAAUCGGAUUUACUGGGCGUAAAGCGUGCGCAGGCGGCCUGUUAAGUCAGGUGUGAAAUCCCUGGGCACAACCUAGGAAUUGCACUUGUGACUGGCGGGCUCGAGUGCGGUAGAGGGGGGUGGAAUUCCUGGUGUAGCAGUGAAAUGCGUAGAGAUCAGGAGGAACACCGAUGGCGAAGGCAGCCCCCUGGGCCUGUACUGACGCUCAUGCACGAAAGCGUGGGGAGCAAACAGG